UACGUAGGCAGCAAGCGUUGUUCGGAGUUACUGGGCGUAAAGGGUGUGUAGGCGGUUGUUUAAGUUUGGUGUGAAAUCUCCCGGCUCAACCGGGAGGGUGCGCCGAAUACUGAAUGACUAGAGUGCGGGAGAGGAAAGUGGAAUUCCUGGUGUAGCGGUGAAAUGCGCAGAUAUCAGGAAGAACACCGGUGGCGAAGGCGGAUCUCUGGGCCUUACCUGACGCUGAGGCGCGAAAGCUAGGGGAGCGAACAGG
Molecule: ribosomal RNA, 253 nt
Filed under: uncultured bacterium
Lineage: Bacteria
Description: partial 16S ribosomal RNA
Rfam family: Bacterial small subunit ribosomal RNA
Source: RNAcentral